CAGUCGCCGCGGUAAUACGUAGGUCCCGAGCGUUGUCCGGAUUUAUUGGGCGUAAAGCGAGCGCAGGCGGUUAGAUAAGUCUGAAGUUAAAGGCUGUGGCUUAACCAUAGUACGCUUUGGAAACUGUUUAACUUGAGUGCAGAAGGGGAGAGUGGAAUUCCAUGUGUAGCGGUGAAAUGCGUAGAUAUAUGGAGGAACACCGGUGGCGAAAGCGGCUCUCUGGUCUGUAACUGACGCUGAGGCUCGAAAGCGUGGGGAGCAAACAGGAUUAGAUACCCGGGUAGUCCCUGUCUCUUAUACA
Molecule: ribosomal RNA, 301 nt
Filed under: uncultured bacterium
Lineage: Bacteria
Description: partial 16S ribosomal RNA
Rfam family: Bacterial small subunit ribosomal RNA
Source: RNAcentral